CACGUAGGCUGUUAUGUAAGUCAGGGGUGAAAUCCCACGGCUCAACCGUGGGACUGCCCUUGAUACUGCACGACUUGAAUCCGGGAGAGGGUGGCGGAAUUCCAGGUGUAGGAGUGAAAUCCGUAGAUAUCUGGAGGAACAUCAGUGGCGAAGGCGGCCACCUGGACCGGUAUUGACGCUGAGGUGCGAAAGCGUGGGGAGCAAACA
Molecule: ribosomal RNA, 207 nt
Filed under: uncultured bacterium
Lineage: Bacteria
Description: partial 16S ribosomal RNA
Rfam family: Bacterial small subunit ribosomal RNA
Source: RNAcentral